Long non-coding RNA from Cyclopterus lumpus (lumpfish), 1653 nucleotides. RefSeq lists it as uncharacterized. Lineage: Eukaryota; Metazoa; Chordata; Actinopteri; Perciformes; Cyclopteridae. The record is from RefSeq and is a predicted model, not a curated record. The transcript has 3 exons.
ACACGCAGCUGUUCGUUGCUCUAAAUGCGUUCUUGUCUUGGUGUUCUGAUGUUUCAAUUCAAAGUCCGCUUCUCGCAUAAGCACGGUCCAAAUAUCCGGAUGUGACUUGACCCCCACCCCCUCAUUCUACCGGGGAAGCAUCGGAGGUGACUUGUGUGUACUUUGGACAGACAAUAUCCCAGAAUUGUGAGGUCCUGUUGGCGGACCUGUGAGCCUCGCAGCACCGGGCGGUCAGUGCUCAGUGUGGCCGCCGAGAACAGUCUGAUGUCGGCAGGACUUUUUUAAAUGAUCCGCUGGCUCUGAUGUCUCCGCAGCGGUUAAACACGGUUAAACAAUUCGGUUUUGGAGGAUCUAACACGCAAUGUUUGGUCUCAGAGUUUAUUUGUUCACAGGCAGCAGUACACUGGAACUCCAUUCCAGGAUCAAUCAGAGAUCUACAAUCAUUCAAUUCUUUUAAAGAGCCAGGACAAAGCCACACCUACAGUUACUGGUCACAUCAAUGGAAGCUUGACAGUUCUUCCAGGAACCAUCUUGCCUGGCACCAACAUGGAGGUCCAUUGGAAAAUUAGCUAUGUACGUACAUAUGGAUGAACAAGAUUCUACAGCCACACCAGCAGUUGUGCUAGCAUGCUCACAGUCACAAUGGUAACAUGCUGAUGUGUAGUUGGUCAUAUUUUACAGGUUUGCCUUCUUAUUGAGCAUGUUGGCAUACGAACAGCACUAAACACAAAGUACAGCUAAAGCUAAUGGGAAUGGCAUUUGUUUUGCAGGUAUUUAGACUUAAACUAAAGUAUUAGGCAAAAAUACAUUUUGACCUGAUAAUGGCACGAAGACAAAAGGUCAGGCAAUCACAAGUCAUUAGAAUUUCACAGCAAUCUGUCCAAUAGUUGUCCCGAUAUUUCCCUCUGAACCUUAAAUGUCAAGCUUCAUAACUAUAGGGAGCUAGUCCUUGCUAUCCCUUAAAACAAUGAUAUGUUUCCAUAUUUACCACAACGGUGACGCUGGUAUUGCUUGUGAGCCUGUGUGUGUGGGUCAUCAUGGCAAAAUGGGGUCCUGGAGACACCUAGCGUAGCAAUAACUAACACAGUGGGGGUUUUGAGUACUUUGCCCGGUGUUUAUAUAUCUGGCUGUAGACAGAUUGUGUCACUACGACAGCGUUGCAACUGUGCAGGAUGCAGUCACAACACCUUACAGGCGUGUAGUUGAGAUCAAAAUGAAGGCAGAGUUCGGAGGUCGGUGUGGUCCAAGCAAGGGGCGCCAGACAGAAGGCUAGCCGAUGCUAACAAUACCAUUAAAAGCAACACAUAUUUAUGAAUAAGCCAGCAUCUUCUUCUACUAAAUUAAAGAGCUCAAGUCAGAUUACAACAUUAUAACCUCUUCAAAGCUAAAUGGUCCCGUAUGCAUACAAAAUCACAUAUGGGUUGUAUUUCAACUAGCAGAUGCUGUUGACAUAAGACCAUUAAAGUCUUGCAUGAACACAUUGUGUCAGAACGGAGUACAAAGCCAUCCUGCAGUCAGAUUAAUGUUAUGAACCGUCUAGUAUCGAGUAUUGAAGAUCCAUGUGACCCACAGGCGUGCCAUGUUUUUGGUACUAAGCUGAACAUUUCAUUGUCUGUAUAGUUUAAUUUCUUUUGAUUCGGUUUCUACAGGAAA